This 496-nucleotide ribosomal RNA is filed under the name uncultured bacterium. RNAcentral's name for it is "partial 16S ribosomal RNA". It matches the Rfam family "Bacterial small subunit ribosomal RNA", at positions 29 to 507 of the family's 1533-position model. The record is from RNAcentral.
AUGAACGCUGGCGGCGUGCCUAAUCCCUGCAAGUCGAGCGAACAGAUGAGGAGCUUGCUCCUCUGACGUUAGCGGCGGACGGGUGAGUAACACGUGGAUAACCUACCUAUAAGACUGGGAUAACUUCGGGAAACCGGAGCUAAUACCGGAUAAAAUAUUGAACCGCAUGGUUCAAUAGUGAAAGACGGUUUUGCUGUCACUUAUAGAUGGAUCCGCGCCGCAUUAGCUAGUUGGUAAGGUAACGGCUUACCAAGGCAACGAUGCGUAGCCGACCUGAGAGGGUGAUCGGCCACACUGGAACUGAGACACGGUCCAGACUCCUACGGGAGGCAGCAGUAGGGAAUCUUCCGCAAUGGGCGAAAGCCUGACGGAGCAACGCCGCGUGAGUGAUGAAGGUCUUCGGAUCGUAAAACUCUGUUAUUAGGGAAGAACAAAUGUGUAAGUAACUAUGCACGUCUUGACGGUACCUAAUCAGAAAGCCACGGCUAACUACGUG